GAGUUUGUGCAGAGAUCUGAAGUCUAGAGGUAUGUCUAUGUCUCUAGUCACGUAUAAUAUUCUAGUUUCUGGGUUUUGUAAGAAGGGAGAUACUUCAGGAGCAGCUAAGAUAGUUAAGGAGAUGGAAGAGAGAGGGAUUAAACCUUCGAAAGUUACAUACACGAUUCUCAUUGAUACGUUUGCUCGGUCUGAUAACAUGGAGAGAGCAAUCCAGCUUCGAACGUCGAUGGAGAGUUUAGGAUUAGUUCCGGAUGUUCAUACUUAUAGCGUGUUGAUUCACGGGUUUUGCAUCAAAGGUCAGAUGAACGAAGCAUCGAGGCUUUUUAGAUCGAUGGUCGAGAAGAAGGUAGAACCUAACGAGGUGAUCUACAAUACGAUGAUUCUUGGGUAUUGUAAGGAAGGUAGUUCUUAUAGAGCGUUGAGGUUGCUAAGAGAGAUGGGAGAUAAAGAGUUGGCUCCAAAUGUUGCUAGCUAUAGUUAUUUGGUUGACGUUCUUUGUAAAGAAAAAAAAUUGAAAGAGGCUGAGGAUUUGGUUGAGAAGAUGAUUGGUUCAGGGAUGUAUCCAUCUGCUUCAGUAUGUAAUAUGAUCUCUAGUGCCAAAAAUGGUUCGCUUAUAGCUCAAACAAAUGAUAAGAGCUGUUUAAAUGUGACUUAAAUUUACACUUCUUUUUUCAUUCCGUUUUCUUUUUUCAUUCCGUUUUUCACUUAAAUUUACACUUUUUCAGUCACUUAACCCCAUUCCAUGAUUUAUUUCAAAAUAGAAUUUAAAACAAAAAAUCUGACUUUAAUUGGUAACAUGUGGUAACAUUGAUUUAGUUUGAGUUGAGAGUUUAAUUCAUAGAUAACUCAAAAUAUCACCAAUCAUGCAUUAAAUUUAAUUUUUUUUUAUUUUAAAUUUGAGUUAUCAUGUAUUAUGGUUGAAUUACAAUUUUGAUUUACACCCUUUGUAAAAUUGUUAAACCAAAACUUAAUGCAACAUCAUGAUCAAUCCAAUGUUUUAGGAUUUGAGUUACAAUUAUAAUUAAAGUUUCUGUCUAAAAUACAAAGUGAAUAAUAAAUCUGAAACACUCUACCUCCGCGUACGAAAACUGUUAUACGUUUUGGAAUUUUUUUGUUUGUAAAUAAAAUAUUAUUUGUAUUUCCAAAACCACCAUAGCAAUAUCUUAUUCUUAUUUCUGGAAAUAUUUUUAAUAAUAUUAUAUACUUCACAUCAUUUUGUGUUAAUCAAAUAUUUUUUUAUUCUCUUUCUUGUUCCUAUUUUUGAAUUAUUAAAUUAUUAUCUUACAUAAUCUUAUUAGUUGUAGAUUUUAUUUGGAUUGAAAAUUUAUAAAUUAUUUUGUUAUUGAUAUCGGAUAAAUAAUAUCAUCAGUAAGUUUAGUUCUUAGAAAAAUAUAUAUUGCAGCUUAUCUUUUGUUAAAAUUUAUUUUUAUACAUAUUAAAAAUAAUUUUAUUAUUUAUUUUAUUUUAAAUAGGUUAAUAGUUUUUGUUAUUAAUAAUAAUUCAUUAUUAUAUGUUUAUAUUUAUAUUUAUUUUAUUGAAAAUUAUACUGUAAAUUAUACAUCAAAAAGGUUACAAGUCAUCAGUUUUACUAAAAUAGUAACUCUAAUUUUUACUGCAAAACUUACCACAUAAAGUUACAGUUUUUACCACAUAAUUUUUACUGCAAGUUACAUCGAAUUGUAAUACAUAUUGCAACUCGACUUCAAUGCUACAUGUCAUCAAUUAGAACCUAAGUAUAUUCCAUUUUAUGCUGUAUAAUGAAAUAAAUAUGGAUUUAUUCUAUGGAAUAAUCAUUUUAUUGUUACUUCAUUAUUCUAUUUUCCACUCAAUUUGUGGAGUAUGGUUCAAAUAAAUUCAAUUCCAUUUUGGAGUGAAAACUAAAGUUUGACAUCCAUGUAGUAGAGCAUUUCCAAUAAAAAAGAAAUCUAUUUUUCUCCGAAAUAGAAUAAUUUUAUAUUGGAAUUGAAUUUGUUCCAACCAUAUUCUAUUUUUGGAACGAAAAUUGAAAUAAUGAACAAAAAAUAAAAUGAUUGUUUCAUUUAUAGAGUAAACAUUCCAUUAUAAAGUGGAAAAUGAAAUUGAAUUUGUUCCAAACUCCAUUUUGAAGUAAAUUAUGAAGUAUGAAUAGAGAUGCUCUUACAAGAUUAAGAUUAUCCUUUUUGAUAAUGAUUUUUUUGUUUCUUCUGAUUCAACAUUAUUCAUUGGUUUAGUUUGGUUUACUUAUAAACCAACUCCAACUCUACCAUUACAGAAAUUAGAAAACCAAAUCAACCGUUGGAAAAAUAUUAAGAGAAGAAAACAUAGCAGUUUCUCAAAACAAAACCACCAUUUUUCUUCUUUCGCGUGUCCGAUUAAGAAAGAGAGAUGGAUCACGCGAUGUUAAUUGCUCUUAUAAUCGCCGCAGCUUUCCUCUUUGUAUUCAACAAAGUGGACGGAGUCCAGAUCUUGUCUAAAUCAAAGCUAGAAAAGUGUGAGAAGACAAACGAUUCAGGAAACCUCAACUGCUCAACUAAAAUCGUCUUGAAUCUCGCUGUCCCCAGUGGAUCCGUAAGCCUUGUUAUAUUUGUGCGCUAUAUCAUAUGAUUUUUUUGCUCAUCACAUUAUGUUUUUUUCCGUGACGACGAAUAAGAGCGGAGGAGAGGCUUCGAUUGUAGCCGAGAUCGUCGAAGUGGAAGAUAAUUCGAGUAGCAACAUGAAGACCGUACGUAUCCCACCGGUUAUCACAGUGAACAAAUCAGCAGCAUAUGCUCUCUAUGACCUAACUUACAUUAGGGUACGUAUGAAGUUAUGUUUUACUGUCUUAAAUGGGUUUGGUUUAAAGUUGAUUAUCAUCAUGAAUCAGUCUCUAAUCUUGGUUCAGGAUGUGCCUUAUAAACCUCAAGAGUUUCACGUUACCACUCGAAAGUGUGAGCCAGAUGCUGGACCAGAUAUCGUUGGAAUAUGCGAGAGGCAAAUAUCUUUCUUUACGAUAUAUAUAGUUCUUUCUUGUUUAGCUUUAACGGUAAAUACUUAUCGGAACAGGCUGCGUGAUGACAAAGGUAACGUUCUGGUGCAGACUCAGCCUGUCUGUUGUCCAUGUGGACCACAAACAAGAGUUCCUUCAUCUUGUGGAGACAUAUGUACGUGUUUCUUUGUCUUAACAUUUUCAAUCUCUUUGGUUUAACAUUCAAUCUCUUUGGUUAAUAAAAUUUGGGUACUAUAAACAUUUUAGUAUAAAAUUUUAUUUUAUUUUUUUACUAUUUCUGGAACCAUAAAACGUAUGAUAUUAGUUGUUUAAAAUUUGUGUGCGAGUGUUAAUGGUUCACUGGAUUAUGCUUAGAGGAAGCGUUAUUUGUAUGUUGUGAAGAAUAAUUUACAACUCUCAUUUUCUUCACUUGACUUUUAUCAGUUGAGAAGUUGAUAAAAGGGAAAGCAAACACUGCGCAUUGCCUUCGUUUCCCUGGUGACUGGUACAGAUCCUCACUCAAUGUGGAUUUACUCUAAAGGUUGUUUUCAGGCUUCUAGAAGUUUGGCCAUUUGUUUGCUCUCUCUCUCCUGUAGGUACCACGUUUUCAGCAUUGGACAACGGUCUCUAGGGUUUAGCGUGCGUAUUGAGUUGAAGACAGGAACUAGAGUUUCAGUAUGUCUACUUCAUUGCUUCAAGCUUAGCUUUGUUCCGGAGUUAUUCUGUCUUUUAUGAUUCUUCUUUAACUGGCAGGAAGUGAUCAUUGGUCCUGAAAAUAGAACAGCUACUGCAAAUGAUAACUUCCUCAAGGUUAAUCUCAUAGGAGACUUUGCUGGUUACACAAGUAUUCCUUCUUUUGAGAACUUCUAUCUUGUAAUCCCAAGAGAGGUAUAAAUAACUCUAUAUCCAUUUGAAAUCUUUUAACUUAAUGAGCCGUAUUACAAAAAUGCUAGAAGAAUAUUUUGAAUAGGUGGCGGCAGAGGGACAGCCAGGGAACUUAGGUGGAAACUACUCAAUGUGGAUGCUGCUUGAGAGAGUGAGAUUUACAUUGGAUGGCAUAGAGUGUGACAAGAUCGGUGUUGGCUAUGAAGCUUAUAACAACCAACCAAACUUCUGUUAUGCACCAUAUUGGAGUUGCUUGCAUAAUCAACUUUGGAACUUCCACGAGGUCAGUACUUAAGAAACAAGACCGAACAUAGUCCAAUGAAACAUUGUCACUGAGCUAAUAUACAUAAAUCAUAUGAUUGUUAAAUUAUCAAACUAUUAAGAUUUACACUAAAAUGUUUAUAUCCUCUUAAAUCUCAGGACCGGUCCUAUUAAUAACUUAUAGCUUUAUGUAAUACCUUAUUUGGUCACUGUUGCGCCGAUAACAAGUUUGUUUCAGGCAGAUGUGAACCGGAUAAACCGCCACCAAUUUCCUUUGUAUGGACUGGAAGGAAGAUUUGAGAGGAUCAAUCAACAUCCAGUUAAGUUUUCAGCUUUUCAUAGUUUCUAAAUUAAUAAUAAAAUUUGUUGUUGGCUUAUCAAAAGCUUAUGUACAUGAUGAUACAGAACGCAGGGCCUCAGUCGUUCUCUAUAGGAGUCACGGAAACGCUCAACACAAAUCUAAUGAUCGAGCUAAGAGCUGAUGAUAUUGAAUAUGUUUUCCAAAAGUAAUAUUAUAAAAAGUAUUCAGCUUCUUUUUCUUAUAUUCUGAUUAUAAAGUAUAAAGUAAAGUAACGUUUGUGUGGUCGUAGGAGCCCUGGUAAGAUCAUAAACCUGGGUUUUGUAAGAAGGGAGAUACUUCAGGAGCAGCUAAGAUAGUUAAGGAGAUGGAAGAGAGAGGGAUUAAACCUUCGAAAGUUACAUACACGAUUCUCAUUGAUACGUUUGCUCGGUCUGAUAACAUGGAGAGAGCAAUCCAGCUUCGAACGUCGAUGGAGAGUUUAGGAUUAGUUCCGGAUGUUCAUACUUAUAGCGUGUUGAUUCACGGGUUUUGCAUCAAAGGUCAGAUGAACGAAGCAUCGAGGCUUUUUAGAUCGAUGGUCGAGAAGAAGGUAGAACCUAACGAGGUGAUCUACAAUACGAUGAUUCUUGGGUAUUGUAAGGAAGGUAGUUCUUAUAGAGCGUUGAGGUUGCUAAGAGAGAUGGGAGAUAAAGAGUUGGCUCCAAAUGUUGCUAGCUAUAGUUAUUUGGUUGACGUUCUUUGUAAAGAAAAAAAAUUGAAAGAGGCUGAGGAUUUGGUUGAGAAGAUGAUUGGUUCAGGGAUGUAUCCAUCUGCUUCAGUAUGUAAUAUGAUCUCUAGUGCCAAAAAUGGUUCGCUUAUAGCUCAAACAAAUGAUAAGAGCUGUUUAAAUGUGACUUAAAUUUACACUUCUUUUUUCAUUCCGUUUUCUUUUUUCAUUCCGUUUUUCACUUAAAUUUACACUUUUUCAGUCACUUAACCCCAUUCCAUGAUUUAUUUCAAAAUAGAAUUUAAAACAAAAAAUCUGACUUUAAUUGGUAACAUGUGGUAACAUUGAUUUAGUUUGAGUUGAGAGUUUAAUUCAUAGAUAACUCAAAAUAUCACCAAUCAUGCAUUAAAUUUAAUUUUUUUUUAUUUUAAAUUUGAGUUAUCAUGUAUUAUGGUUGAAUUACAAUUUUGAUUUACACCCUUUGUAAAAUUG
Molecule: long non-coding RNA, 5589 nt
Filed under: Brassica napus (rape)
Lineage: Eukaryota; Viridiplantae; Streptophyta; Magnoliopsida; Brassicales; Brassicaceae
Description: long non-coding RNA (BNAP_LNC023090)
Source: RNAcentral